Long non-coding RNA from Symphalangus syndactylus (siamang), 342 nucleotides. RefSeq lists it as uncharacterized. The record is from RefSeq and is a predicted model, not a curated record. NCBI's taxonomy places the organism in Eukaryota, Metazoa, Chordata, Mammalia, Primates, Hylobatidae.
ACACAGUACCGCAGCCCUGCCCCAGCGAUCCCGCGGGCAGGAAGACCGGGUAGGAGCCCCAGCCCCAGGAGGAGGAGCCUGUCUGGAUGGACGCAGCCUGAACUGACCCACAAACAGACCAAAAAAGUCACUCUCAAAGAGCUCUCUGUAGGCACACAGACCCCAGCUUUACAAGGACCCCAGCUCCUUAACACAGAUCCCAGCUCCGAGGAAACUCGUCCCCCCACAUUAAUCCUGACCGACUUUGCCACAUGGAGCCAGCAAACCAUUUCUGGUGAGAGCCAAACACACCUUCUGCACCCCUGAACUCCUGUCCCCCACUCAGUGUGUCCAGAAAGCCAU